GGCUGAGCCCUCCUUGUCCACAGUGGGAGCAUCCUUCAUUGGCUGCUUUGCCUUCCUCAUCUCACUUCCUCCUGCCAUUAACAUUUAUUUUCCCUCCAAGCAACUACAUGUGUUAGAAUCCUGUUCCAGGAUCUGCUUUACAAGCAGCCCAUAGCAAGACAGCACAUUUCUCAGGGAAUUAUUGCUUAUGUAUUUAGUGUGCACUCUAAAAAAGGAUUUCAGAAGAAUUCCAAAAAAGUUAAACAAAGAAGAGUUCAUGUUGUCAAGAAGCUCUCAGACUAGGGACUCUUUUUACUAGGAAAGGAAAGAAAGGGAAUACUUGAAUGCUUAAUAAGUACUCAGCUUAUUAGACUGACCCAUAGGAAAUGACUGAUGUUAUGCUUUGGAUCUAGGAUGUCCCUGAAAGUUCAUGCCUUACAGGUAUGGACUUUGGACUGUAUUGGACUGUGACUGAACUGUGAACGUUCUUACCUCAUUUGCUAUUAGGAUGUAGUGGAAACAUUAGUAUGUGGGCCCUGAUGGAGGAAACAGUUCCCCGGAUGCAGAACAUUGAAGGGUAUAUUCUUUUUCCUCUCUCUUCUUUCUCCUCUUCCUCCCUUUCUGGCCACCAUGAGGUAGAUAUCUCUUCCUCACCAUCUAUGCCGUGACGCUCUCCCUCAUCACAGGCCAAAAAACAGUGGAGCCAAGUGACCUGGGACUGAAAGCCUAAGUGAACAAACCCAGGCCUCUAUUCUGCAUUGACCCCUGAACACAGUCACCUCCAAGUUACACGUGAGCUCCACAGAGGAGGAGAUUGUGGCUGUCACUUUCCAGUCAUCGCGGCAGCUCCUGCUCUCAAUCGCCCCAGCCAUUCUAUCAUCUGCCAUCCCUGGCGGCUCUAGCCUUCCUCAAAGUGAUCUCCACUGUUGUGGUGAUGCACAGUACACAGACACCAACUCAGAACAGGAUUCAGGCUUAGAACAACUCUAAGAAUCCAUUGGCCAAACAUCUUCAUGAGUCCCUGCACCCCACCUGCCAAUCCGAGUUACAAAGGGCAAAAUUUCAUCUACCAGGUCUACUUUCCAACAUCAAAAUUCUUCUAUUAAGUGUGAAGUGGUACAACUGCUACGGAGAAGACUGUGAUGAGAAAGUGAGCUGCAAGUGGCAAGGAGAUGGUCACAUUCCUAGCUUACGGUUUGUACAGAACAUAAACUCUAGCCAGUCUUCUAGUUCCAUUUACAGAGAUCUGUUCUGCUGGGGCACUUUCAUGUCUACUGAUGAAACUGAUGAAAGGCACUGUUAGAGGAGCUGGUGGCUGCCAGGCCUGAUUUCUGAAUUGAUUGGUCACCAGUUUUGGAGAGAGAUGGCCCAAAGGAUUCAAGUAUUUAAGAGAAUAUUUGGUGUAGGAGUUUUCUCUCUGCAAGAUGGCUGAAGUGGAGAGUGUGAAGUUCUUUUACCAGCAACGAACAGUAUUUCUGGUUUGUGCAAGAGGCUUCUAGGCAUUAUCUCAUUUAAUUCUUGGAACAACUGUAGGUAUAAGUUUUACUAACUAAUCUCUUUUCACAGAUGAGGAUACUAAGGUUCAAAGAAACAUGGUCAAAAUCUGCCCAGGCCAGAAUAUGAGUUCGACUCUAAAGUUAGGAGGUUGAGACUUUCCACUAAGCCACAGUGUCCCCAGGUUGAAACUGAGGCUGUUAUCAUGAAAUCCUAGACUUCUGACUUUUGCAGUGGAUCCUUCUUUCCAAAAGAACCUUUAAAAUCAGAUGUGGUGAGCUCAUACCUGUAAUUCUGAGUGUACCAGGAAGGCUGAGGCAAAAGGAGCACAGGUUUGAGAUCUCACAGGAUCACACUGUGAAAUAUUGUCUCAAAAAAUUUUUUUAACAGAGGUUUUUAAAAUAUUAUUGGUGGGGACCAGCAACCAGCAAAAGAAGAAACCAACACUUGGUUACUGACCCUUUUUUCUCAAUUUUCUUUUUUCUUUGUUUUCUCUCUUGUCUUUUUUAUUUCUUUCUUCCAUUUUCCUUUUUUCUCUCUUUUCUAAAUAUCUGGGGAGAACCCCGGCCACAGAAAACAAAUCCCAUCCCUCAGACUCAGAGACCAAUUCAGAUAAUCCCUCGAAUACUCCUUCAUUCUUUCUUUUCUUCCACCUUCUCUAGUUUCCCAAACCCUGUGUGUCCACCAUUUGUCCUCCAGGCUUGCUUCUACUUCCUUCCCAGGUAUAUUUGUUGUAUAUACCAUCUUCCAUAAACUUCCCCACCGCAAGGUAAACCCACUCUACCAAGGGGAGACACUGCAUGUAAACUCCUAAUUUAGGAUUGGUGCUGUUAUAUGACUGUAGACUUUGCUCCUAUGGGCUAACAUAUAAAAUCAAGAGUUAGCACAGUUUGUCAGUUUCUAAACUGUGCUUGAUGCUAUGAUUAUUGCCAAUUUUACUACUUUAGCUAGGAUUUCAUAUAUGUUAUAAUCAGUCUUUCUCCCUUCUGUAACAAUACUGGGAAGCUGUUGUGUAAUAACUUCACCACAACCCCACAUCAAAGGACUGGGAACUGAGCCAAAAAGAUACCAAUGUCCUACUUUUAAUUAAUUGGGAAGGUAGGACCUUGGGCCAGACAAAAAUCAAGAAUUUACACACACAAGAUAUCCCUGAAGAACAGACUUCUCCUAGAGAGGCCUUGAUGCUAGUGAGUUAGCUACCUACUACAAAAAUGUACAAGGAUCAGGUUUAGAAAACCAAAUAAAAAGUUUUUUGAAAUUGAAAAUGACAAGACAAAAAAGCAAAAUGCAAUCAAUCUCAGACCUCUAGCUCAACCAGAACAAGUACAGGAGAUAUCAAUAUAGAAGAAACUAGAAGCACACAUCUGAAAUUUCUGAAAUGAUAGCAACUGAAGUAAAGAAACAAAUCCAUGAGGACAUAAAGGAAAUUAGGUCAGAAAUAAUCUCUCAGGUAAGAAGAGAAUCAACAACAUUUAUGAAGGACUUGCUCAACAAAUCUAGAUUAAAUAUAGAUAAAAAAUAGAUGAUGAUAGGAAGUACAUAGAAGCUGAAUAAUCAGUAUAAGAAAGAAAAAGAAUGCAUGAAAUGGAUUCAAACAAAUAUCCAGGAAAUAAAAAAUUGCAUUAAAAAUUAACAAAACUCAUUCAACAAAACUGAAGACAGACUUUCAGACCUUGAAGACAGGAUCAUGGCUGUUGAUGAUGAAAGGAAAGAUUGCUUGAAGAUGACAAAAGAUCAGGGAAUAAUAAUCCAAUAGAUAUAAGAUGACACAAAGAAAAUGAUAUAAGAAUAAUUUAUGUCAAUGAAAAAGCAAGAGUCAACAUAAAUGAUAUAAAAAACUAUUUGCAGAAGCAAUAACAGAAAAUUUCCCAAGCAUGGGAAAAUAAACUGAUAGACAUGCAUAACUCCACUUACCCAUAACCAAAAUAAAUCUGCACCCAAACAUAAAAUAAUCAAAGUCUCAGACAUUCAAUACAACAUUGAAAACUGUUAGAGAAAAGAAACUGAUCACUUAAAAAGGAAAGUCUAUCAGAAUCAUGGCAGACUUCUCAACACAAACCCUCAAAUAAAGAAGAGCUUGAAUUGAAAUAUUUCAAGUCCUGAAAGGAAACAGCUUCCAAUGCAGAUUGAUGUACCCUGUAACACUAUCUUUCAAGAUUAAUGGAUAAAUAAGAUACUUUAAUGACAAAGAAUAACUGAAAGAAUUCAUGACCAAUGCCACAAAGGGUAUAGAAAGAUAUUCUAGACAGAAAUAGAGAUGAGCACCAUUUCAAGAACAACAAUAGAAAGAAACCUUUAAGCAGGGCAAGCAGUUAAUCAGAUAGGAAAUAUAGGAAACUCACAGUAGGAAAAUAACAUGACAAAGAUAAGCAACUAUGGUAUGAGUUAUAACCAUCAAUGUAAAUGCCCUUAAUUCAUCAAUCAAAAGAAGCAGACUAACUGAAUGGAUCAAGAAACUAGAUCCCACAAUAUGAAAUAUACAAGAAACACGUUUAACUCUAAAUGAACCUCAUAGACUAAAAGUUAAAUGAUGGAAAACAAUACCAUAUGUGACAGGAACCAGGAAAAAGCAAGGUAGCUAUUCUGUUUGCAGACAAUAUAAACUUCAAACCAAGAAUGACCAAAAGAGAUAAAGAAGGUCACUACAUACUUGUGCUGAGGGGAUGACGACAAGAAGAGAUAACAAUCAUAAAUAUAUAUGCAUGAAAUAUGGGAGCACUUAACUCUGAAAAGCAAAUAUUAACAGACAUGAAAAACCAAAUAAGCAAUAACAUAAUUGUAAUGGGGAAUCUUAAUAUCCCAUGGUCACAAAGAGAUAGAUGAACUAGACUAAAAGUCAUCAAAGAAGUAACAGAACUGAACCAAACAGAACUGUGAACAAAUGGACUUAGUAGAUGUUUAUAGGAUGUUCUAUCCAACAACAUUAGAUCACAAAUUCUUUUCAGUUGCACACAUGACAUUUUCUAAAAUAGACUAUAUACUAGGCCAUAAAACGUGCUUAAAUAAUGCAAAGGAAUUGAAAUUAUCUCAUGCGUAUUAUCUGACCAUCAUGCAAUGAAACUGAAAAUUAAUGACAGAAGACACCACAAAAAUCUCUUUAAAUGCAUGGAAAUUAAGUAACACUUUCCUGAACAACCAGUGCAUCACAUGUGAAAUUAUAGAAGAAACUAAACAUUAUCUACAGUCAAAUGAAAAUGAAACUAUAACCCACUAGAACCUGUGACACAAUGAAAGCAGUCCUAAGAGGGAAAUUGAUGGCACUGAAUUCUCACAUCAGGAAAACAGAACAAGUACAAAUAAACAAUCUAAUGAUACACCUCAAACUUCUGGAAAAAGAAGAGAAGGUCAAUCCCAAAGUUGAUACAGGGGAGAAAAUUAUAAAGAUUAGAGUUGAAAAUAACACAUUUGAGACUAAGAAAACCAUAUAAAGAGUUAGUGAAUCAAAGAGCUGGUUCUUUGAAAGAAUCAACACAGUCGGUAAACCCCUAGCCAACAUUAUCAAAAAACAAAAAACAAAAAACAAAAAACAAAAAAAAAGGAAAGAAACAACUCAAAUUCAUGAAAUAAGGAAUAAAAAAGGUGAAGUCAUUAGCAAUAUUGCGGAAAUUCAGAAGAUCAAAAAUCUUUACUUGCAUAGGAUGGAAAACAGAAGACACGGACAUAAAUUCCUGCAAAUUUAUGAAUUACCAAAAGAGAAUCAAGAAAACAUAAAAUUUUUGAAUAACUUAAUAAUAGUUAAUGAAAUUGAAAAUGUAAUUAAAAACUUGCUAACAAAAUAAGCUCAGAUCCUGAUAAAUUCCCUGCUGAAUUCUACAAGAAAUUUAGAGAACAGUUAAUGCCAGCGCUCCUCAGCCUCUUCAAUGAAGCUGAAAGAGAAGCAAGUGUCCCUAACUCAUUCCUGGAGUUAUUCCUGGAGACAAAUAGUGUCCUGAUACCAAAACCAGAAAAAGAGCCAAAUGAAAAAGAGAACUAUAGGCCAACCUCCCUAGUGAACAUAGAUGUAAAAGUCCUCAAUAAAAUACUAGCAAAUAGUUUGUAUUAAAUCAUCAAGAAGAUUAUGCAUCAUGACCAAGUGGGGUUCAUUCCAGGAAUGCAGGGAUGGUUCAACAUACACAAGUCUACAAAUGUAAGACACCAUAUCAACAGAGUCAAUGACAAAAAUCACAUGAUGAUCCCAAUAGAUGCAGAAAAGGCUUUUGAUAAAGUCCAAUACUCAUUCAUGAUAAAAAAAAAAAAACCUACAGAAAAUUGGAAGAAGUGGACUUUACCUCAAUUUGACAAAAGCCAUCUAUGACAAGUCAACUGUCAAUAUGAUACUCAAUGAACGAAUACUGCAAGCUUUCAAUCUGAAAGUAAGAACAAGACAAGGAUGUCGACCGUCACCACUCCUAUUUAAUAUAGUUCUAGAAACAUUAACCAGAGCAAUUAGACAAGAGACAGAAAUAAAAAGAUUAGGAUAGGAAAGUAAGAAGUUAAGUUAUCAUUAUUUUCCAGUGACAUGAUAUGCUACGUAGAAGACCCUAAAACUCUACCAGAAGUCUUCUGGAAUUAAUAACAAAAUUCAGUGGCAUCGUGGAAUAGAAAGUCAACAUUCAAAAAUCAAUAGCAUUCCUGUACACAAACAGCAGAUUCACUGAGAGAGAAAUUAGAGAAACUACACCCUUCACAGUAACAUCCAAAAAAAUGAAGUACUUAGGAAUCAAUCAAAGGAAGUAAAAAAUUUAUACACUUAAGAUUACAGUACUCUGAAAAAAGAGAUCAAAUAGAAUCAGAGAGGGUAUCAGAAAAUGGAAAGGUAUCCCUUGCUCAUGGAUAGGAAGAACCAACACUGUGAAAAUGGCCAUAUUCUCAAAACUGUUGUACAAGAUUUAAUGCAAUUCCAAUCAAAAUUCCAUUAGCAUACCUCAUAGCUCUAGAGAAAACAUUCUUAAAAUUCAUUUGGAAACAGAAGAGACUAGGGUAGCAAAGACAAUCUUGGGCAACAAAGACAAGACAGGAGGCAUUACAAUCUCUGGUUUGAAAUUAUACUACACAGCUACUGUGAUAAAAUCAGCAGGGUACUGGGAAAAAAAAACACCAGACCUGAAGAUCAGUGAAACAGAUGAGAAAGUGCAGAAAUGACUACAAACAAACUCAGCCACUUUAUCUUUGACAAAGGAGCCAACAUUUUCACCAGAAGAAAGAUAACCUCUUUAAUAAGUUGUGCUGGAAAAACUAGCUUUCCACGGAGACUAAAAUUACAUCCAUACCUACCACAUGCACUAAAGUCAAAAUGGAUAUAAAUAUUAAAACAGAAACACUAAAUCCAUUAGAAUUGAAAAUAGAAAUCUCAAAGACAAUCUCCUAGGCAGAGACUUCAUGAAUAAAAACCAAAAUGCAUGGGAAAUAUUUCAAAGGAUCAACAAAUAGGAUCUCAUUUUAUUAAAAAGCUUUUGCACAUGAAAAAAAAUUACCAUUAGAGUGAAAAGAAGACCCACAAAAUGUGAAAAAAUUUUAGCCAUCUGUCCCCUAGAUACAGGACUUUUAUCUAGAACAUAUAAAGAACUGAAAAAAUAUCAGGCCCACAAAAUUCAAAACCCCAAUUCAAAAGUGGGCAUCUGUGAUGAAUAUACUCUUCUCAGGUGAAGAAAUACCAAGGGCAAACAAAUACAUGAAAAAAUGUUCAACAUCAUUGAUCGAUAGGAAAAUAUAAAUUAAAAUGACACUGAGAUUUCUUUUUUUUUACAGCAUUAUUGAAUAGAUUUUUUUAUUUUAAAAAGCAAAAAAGAAAUGACAGAAAUUUUUUAAAAAGUAGAAAAUUAACACUAGUUAACAUAUUGAGUAUUGUUAUCUUAGAAGUAGUUGUUCAAGUUACAAGAUCUAGUACAAAAAUAAUCAAUUACAGCACAAACUAUUCUUUUUGAUGAGCUAACACAGAAUUAGUAGUGUAGUUAUCUAUCUGCACACAUAUACAUACAUACAGUUGCACGUGUGUACCUACUCAUAUAAUCUUUUACUUUCUUCCUUUUCUCCUUUCCCCAUCCCAGUUGUUCUUUCCUUUCUAUCACUUUCUUUCCCUUUCAUUAUUACAAUGUAUAUUGUACAUUUUGGAUCUUAUUACUCUUUUUAUUUUUUAUUAUGGCAAGUGUGAGGUUGUGAGUUUGAUCCCUGGAACCAAAAAAGAAAAAAAAAAAUCAAAACCAAAACCAAAAAAACAAAAAAACCUCAAGCUCAACACUGAAAUUUCAUUUCACCCUAGAAGGAGUGGCUAUCAUCAAGAAAUCAGUCAACAACAAAUGAUGACAGAGCUGUGCGGAGAAAGGAACCCUUCUCCACUGUUUGGAGAGUGCAGACUGGUACAACCUCUAUGAAAAUCAGUGUGGAGAUUCCUCAAAAACUUAGGAUUGGAGGUCUCAUUCAAUCCAGAUAUCCCCUUUCUGGGUAUUUUCCUGGAAGAAUCAAAAACAUGCCACAGAAGUAUAUGUGUACCCUUGUUCAUAGUAGUAUAAUUUGUAAUAGCUAAACAGUGGAAACAACCCAAAAUGUCCAUCAACUGAAUGGAUAAGAAGACAUUGUCUUUUUAUACAAUGGAGUACUACUCACCUAAAAAGAAGGAUAAACUGAAGAUUUUUUUAUAGGUAAAUGGCUGCAACUGGAGACCAUUCUUACAAGGGAAAUAAAUUAGACUCACUUGUGUCAACAUUGUAUCGUCUCCAUAAUGUAAGAAACUGUAAGAGUAAAAAAGAUCCAAAACCUACAAUAGAUAUUGUGAAAGGGGGAAAAAACUGCUCAAAGAACAAAUUGGAAUGGGAGAAAGGAGAAAGGAAGAGAAUAUAUAUAUAUAUAUGCUAAGAUAAUUAUAUUGCUAGUUUAUUUCAGUUCACUGAAAAGAAUGGUUCAUGCUUAUAUUAUUUUUGCAUGCCUCCAUCUUGUAAUCUGUGC
Cavia porcellus (domestic guinea pig) is the source of this 8394-nucleotide long non-coding RNA. RefSeq lists it as uncharacterized. The record is from RefSeq and is a predicted model, not a curated record. Lineage: Eukaryota; Metazoa; Chordata; Mammalia; Rodentia; Caviidae. The transcript has 4 exons.